UACGUAGGGUCCGAGCGUUGUCCGGAUUUAUUGGGCGUAAAGAGCUCGUAGGCGGUUCCGUAAGUCAGAUGUGAAAACUCAGGGCUCAACCCGGAGACGCCAUCUGAUACUGCGGUGACUGGAGUCUGGUAGGGGAACACGGAAUUCCUGGUGUAGCGGUGAAAUGCGUAGAUAUCGAGAGGAACACCUGCGGCGAAGGCGGGUUGCUGGGCCGACACUGACGCUGAUGCGCGAAAGCGUGGGGAGCAAACAGG
This 254-nucleotide ribosomal RNA is filed under the name uncultured bacterium. RNAcentral's name for it is "partial 16S ribosomal RNA". It matches the Rfam family "Bacterial small subunit ribosomal RNA", at positions 524 to 776 of the family's 1533-position model. The record is from RNAcentral.